CGAAUGCUGACAUAAGUAACGAUAAAGCGGGUGAAAAGCCCGCUCGCCGGAAGACCAAGGGUUCCUGUCCAACGUUAAUCGGGGCAGGGUGAGUCGACCCCUAAGGCGAGGCCGAAAGGCGUAGUCGAUGGGAAACAGGUUAAUAUUCCUGUACUUGGUGUUACUGCGAAGGGGGGACGGAGAAGGCUAUGUUGGCCGGGCGACGGUUGUCCCGGUUUAAGCGUGUAGGCUGGUUUUCCAGGCAAAUCCGGAAAAUCAAGGCUGAGGCGUGAUGACGAGGCACUACGGUGCUGAAGCAACAAAUGCCCUGCUUCCAGGAAAAGCCUCUAAGCAUCAGGUAACAUCAAAUCGUACCCCAAACCGACACAGGUGGUCAGGUAGAGAAUACCAAGGCGCUUGAGAGAACUCGGGUGAAGGAACUAGGCAAAAUGGUGCCGUAACUUCGGGAGAAGGCACGCUGAUAUGUAGGUGAAGUCCCUCGCGGAUGGAGCUGAAAUCAGUCGAAGAUACCAGCUGGCUGCAACUGUUUAUUAAAAACACAGCACUGUGCAAACACGAAAGUGGACGUAUACGGUGUGACGCCUGCCCGGUGCCGGAAGGUUAAUUGAUGGG
This 612-nucleotide ribosomal RNA is filed under the name Escherichia coli. RNAcentral's name for it is "partial 23S ribosomal RNA". It matches the Rfam family "Bacterial large subunit ribosomal RNA", at positions 1291 to 1888 of the family's 2925-position model. The record is from RNAcentral. Lineage: Bacteria; Pseudomonadati; Pseudomonadota; Gammaproteobacteria; Enterobacterales; Enterobacteriaceae.